RNAcentral lists this long non-coding RNA (18981 nucleotides) under Coffea arabica (coffee). Its description in RNAcentral is "long non-coding RNA (CARA_LNC002095)". The record is from RNAcentral. Lineage: Eukaryota; Viridiplantae; Streptophyta; Magnoliopsida; Gentianales; Rubiaceae.
GGAGUACUGUCGUCGCGCUCUGUAGAAUAAUCCGACAAGGGAUCAUUUCCUCCUCGAAAAUCAAGCAACUUGAGAAAUUCAACUUCUUUUCCACGGGCCAGGCAGAAGUCCCUCAUCAGAUCAUGAAGGUAGCAUGACUCAACCUUUCUGGAUGUCGAGAACUCAUCGAACUUCACUUGAAGCAUUGACCUACUAGCCAUCUCGUACAAGUACCUUUCAGCUACAUCUGUCAGAGUUUCUCCUUUUCCGCGAUGAUCUGAUGAGACCAUCCCUUCUGCUGUCCACAUUCGAUACAACAUCUCUGCAUCUAUGUCCUCAUCCUCACGAAAUUGCCCCAGGUAAAGAAAACAUGGCUUCAAGUGGUAGGGUAGCUCGUCAUAACUCAGAGCCAACACCUGCAACACGGCUCCAUACCCUUGUUCUUUACCACCUUCACUCAUCCUUAUAUACGAAUCCACAUCAUUCUUCACUAUCUCCCACUCCUCGAGUGAAGUCUUUGGAGUCAGAACUCCUCCAAUUGCAGAGAUUGCUAAGGGUAGGUUUCCACACUCGCGAACAAUUGCCCUCCCUACUGCUUCCAACAGUGGAUCACUUUCACAAUCUGCAAGAGAGAAAAGUGUGAAUUACGUGUCUCUAUAAUUUGUCAAAAAGAUGUACCUUUGUUUUUUUGGAUGUGAAAAUGUAACUAUUCUCCCAACAUUUCCACUUGGUUUGGAGACUAAUGCAUCUAAAUUUGCCAAGUAAAAAAAGCUAACAGAAAUGCAUACAGGUAUGAACGGCAUAGAAUCUGUAGGAAUAAGUAUCAAACUUUUUAUUCUGUUUUAACUAAUGCAAGUCAGAUAUAUGUACUUCACUAGAGAAAAGCUAACCUGCGCCAUUUCUUUUGGCAAAAGCUCUCUUUUGAAGUAACUCCCAGCCUUCAUCCUCGUUCAGAAGGUUGAGUGGAUAGAGGAAUUCAUCUUCUACGAGUUUCUGGUUCCGAGUUGUAAUCAAAAUUUUGCUAUCCGCCUCUGCAAAUGGAAAUGCUACUUUGAGACACUCCCAGUCCUCAAUUUUCCACAGGUCAUCAAGAACAACAAAGCUUUUUGUCUCUUUCUGCACUUUAUAAAGCUCUCCUACCAAUUUCCUCUCAUCCAUCUUCCCAACACUGUCCUUCCUCUGGUCCGGGACAAGCUGCUUCAGAAUGUCUCGGAAGACGGUCAUCGUAUUGCACUGUUGGGUAACCGAAACCCAAGCAAACUGUUUGAAAGCACGUUCUACUUCAAUGUGCUUGUAGAUCUUCCUGGCAAGAGUGGUCUUACCGAGACCGCCCAUCCCAUGUACUGAAAUAACUCGAUGUGAUCUAAUUCCCUCAUCAGUGAUGAGGGACACAAGCUGUCUUAUAUCAUCUUUCAUCCCAACAAAAUAUUCCUCAACUUGAUGGGGAUAGGUUUGUCUCAGCCGCUGUUGAUUCUGAUCCAAUCUCGCAUUGGAACUUUGACCGUCUUCAGUACUGCUCAAUGCAAUGACGCCAUAAGUUUCCAGAUUCGUGGUGAGGCUGUGGAUUCCUGUUUUGAUGCUAGCUAUCUCUGAACCAACUCUGUGAAGAGAUAUUCCUUCAGAAAUUAGGCACGCAAAUCUUCUGAAAGCCUUGCGGAAGCCGUGGCCCCUUCUCCUGGAUUCGAUUUCAACGGCAAACUUCUCCAAGACAUCUUCAGUUCUGUAAGCAAGACGCCUGAUCUCCCUGACAUAAUUACGGAUUGUCGAAUCAUUCAAUUGUUUUUUGUCGGCGUCUUUCAAGAAACAUUGCAUCCGUUUCAAUUCUGCUUCAACUUCCUUGACUUGAUCCGCCACUCCGCUCAAGAAUCUGCCUUCUUCAACUAACAAAUCCUUCACCAUUCCCAAAGCAAGGGAGACAGCUUCGCUACCCAUUUUGGUGCAACAAACAAUAACCCACUUUUUUUCUAAUUCAAUUUGCUCUCUUACAAGCUGUAUCUUGGAUGAUGGAUGCCCAAAGCCAAUGCAAUACAAGUAUGAGAUUGGUUUGUACGGACUAGAACUUGUCUAUGAAUAGUAGUUAAAUGAGAUGAAAUGAUUGAGCAAGGCAGUCAAAAUAACAAGGGAUAAUUUCAGAAACUUCCCCUAAGGUUUUUGACAAUUUCACUAAGCUUCCCUAAGGUUUAAAAAAUUACAUUUACUUCCCUUGAUUUGAUAGUUUUAAUAACAAAAUCUUAAAAUAAUAUUAACUUGAUCAAAUUUUUAAAUGAAUAUAUCUAAAAAUGCCCUUGUGUAAUGAGUUUUAAUUUAUUUUCUUAUAUAAUUUAAAGAUUAUCUAGUAUAAUUACAAGAAAAAUGUGCGAAAAUGUUCAUGUCCAUACCUACUAUUUGAUAAAUAACUAUAAUAAUAACUUUAUCCCUAUAAUAGGAUACUUUUGAUGGUAUUUUAUUAUGGAUUUAGAUCUAUAAGAUAGAAAAGAAAAUAUUGAAAUAAUUCAUUUAGAGGUAUGAAUUUUUUGAUUAGUAGGAUUAUCAUAAUUUAAUACUAAUUUUGGGCCAUUUAUUUUUAAUUUAUUAUUAAUUUAAAUACCAAAAAAAUAGAAAACAAAAAUCAACAAAAACAUUAGAUUACAUAUAAGUUAACUUAUCCAAAAAAAUCACUAAUUCGAUAUUCGGUUAUAAUAGAAACUAUAGGUACUAGUGCUUGUUCUACAGCUUUAUUGGCAAAAAAUGAAAAAAAAAAAAAGAAAAAGAAGAAAAAAUAGUGAAAAAAUAAUUUUAAAAGUCAUUCUAAAUAUAAGCCUACCAAACAAAGGAAUUCAUUAAAAUAUUUAAAGAGAAUAUUGUCAUUUUCAAUGAUAAGAGAGGUAUACAUAAUUUUUAAAAUUUUGAGGGAGAUAAAUGAAAUUAUCAUAAAUCUUAAGAGAGGUUUCUAAAAUUAUCCCAAAUAACAAUAGAAAAGUAUAGUACUACUUUACAUACUAAGGUACACUGAGAGAAUAUGCUUCAAAAAACCAAAAAGGAAGAAUGAGAUAAUGCAUAGGUGUAAACCGUAAGGCCGAGAAGGGAAAAGCAAAAAUAGAGUAUCAUUGGAAAUAUUAUUUAGAAUAAUUAUUAUAACACUUUUUAUGAUAUAAUAUAUAUAUAUAUAUAAUAAAAAAUGAUUAAAAUAAAAAAAAUAAAUUAAGAAAUAUAUUUAUGAUGCAAGUAAAAUAUUAUUUAAAAAAAUUUGACAUCCAAACAUUGCUAUAACGGAUAUGGGGCAGGGACGGUCAUCAGGCGGACCGUUCCUAAACAGUCCUCUCAUAAAAGGGAAUGAGAGGACUGUAAUGGACCACGUGUAAUGGAAGCAGCAGUAAAAGAAAAUGACGCUGCUUCACUAAGUGAGUAGGGAAACAAAUUAAAAAAAAAAGACAUAUGAGUGGCUAACGGGUUCCAUUAAAAAACCUCAGCUUCCGUUCCAAAAUUCCCACUCAAAUUAAUGAGGCACAACUAUUCUUCUGAAAUCUUCAAAUGAAAUAGACUUUUGGUCUUCCUCCAAAAACUUAUCUUGUGAGCAUUCCUUCACAAUUUCAAAAUAUCGACAGAAUAAUAUCCUUGUCCCAAAUUGGAAGUUUUAGAUGAGAGGUUUUUGGAGGAAGUGUUGCAGAAACAUGGUGUCACCGGUCAAUGUACUCACUUCUCAAAAGACUUUUUUAUUUGCAUUUUCUCUAACAUGGGCUAAAAUUGCUAUCAAAAUCUUAAAUUCAAGGGAAGUUAGUGCUAUUUUUCAAAUCUUACGAGAGGUGAGUACAACUGUCAGAUAUUUCAAAAGAGGUUUUUGCAAUUAUCCCAUUAAAAUUACCUAAUUCGGAGGAGGAGGCUGACAGAUAUUUAGCUAAGAGUAGCGGCUUCAUUUGGAUUUCUGAAAAACAAAUUUUUCAUAUACAAUACUAUAAUAAUACACAAACAAAAGUUUUUUAUUUUCGUUCUAUAUUCUAUAAAACCCCAUCCCCCCCCCCCCCCCCCUCUAGGGUCAUUUCCUAUAAGUUGUUUGUCCCUCGAGGUAUUUAAACGAAAAUGGGGCAAGGUGGAUUUUUAACCUAGACAGUUAAAGUAUUUGAUAACUGUAAUGCAUUUGCAUACACGAAAUUUUGGUGGUGCAAAAUCGCAGUGCUUUAGAUGUACUUUUGAUUCCACUUCUACAGAAAACUAUCGAUGGCUUCCCGCCUUGCUUUCCAUCAAUUGUUGGGUUCCCCUCUUAGAUUUCCUCUAUUGACUUUAUUAUUGUUUUGUCAAUACUUGAAACGCGCGUUUCCUCUAUUGACUUUUUUGGCUAUUGCUUUCCUCUAUUGACUUGAAACGCGCGCUUUAAGCACAAACACGUGCUCAACAAGCUAAUGUAUUGACUACGUAAAAUGUUGAAGCAAUAAACUAUAUCACUAUUGCCUGGGUUGUUUAUUACUAAUAAUCAUCCGUUUGCUGUUGCUUCUUGUUGUCUUGUCCUUGCUGUCAUAGUUGUUGAGUGUUUUAUUCCUUCAAAAACAAAAAAAAAAGACUCGAAAGCCAUUAAUUUCAUUAAAUUUUUCCUUCAUUAUGAGAUUCUUCAAAUCAUGUAUUAGAUUAUAUAUAUGUAUAUUUUUUGUUCUUUUUAUUUAUUUAUUUAUCGAGGUCAUGUGUAUUCUCAUAAUUUAUUGAUCUUUCAAGUCCAUCGAAAACUCGAGGGAACAAGGCCAUGUGCAUUAAUUGGGAAUUGAAUUUUUUUUUAUACUAUCAAUUAUAUGUUAAUAAUUGGAAGGAAAUAUUCUAUUCUUUUUUUUUUUGUCGACACGAUAGAAUUCGUAUAACCUAAACUAGCUACUCGAUGUGAGUAGAAACUCCAUCGAAACUGGUCAAUGAAGACCGUCACAUAUUGUGACAAAUUUUGUGAGAGGCAAGAUUUAAACCCUUGACCUCCCGCACCACCAAGGCUAAGAAGACUUGGGAUGACCACUGGACCAAAGGGCCAAUGGCGGAAAGUGGAAUUCUAUUCGGGGAACAUUUUACUGUUUCUUGCAUUAAUUGGUGCAUUAAUUGGUAUUAGGUAGUCAAUACCAUUUCUUUAUCAAGAAAUUAGUUUAUACCCAUAAGUUGAACUCUUUAAUGACUUUGAUGGCCAUUUCUCCCUAGAUCUAUCUCUCUCCCCCCACUAAUGAGUGUUCCAAAAGAAUAAUAAUACUAUUUCUUUGGAUCAGAGAUUGUGAACUCUAAGAUAUUCAACCAAAUAAAGUAUGAUUUCUAGUUGGCAAAUAGUUGAUGGCAUGAAUAGGGACACAAAAAUGGGAAUGAUCCCGGAAGCAACAAAAGCAUCUAACAAAGGUUAACAAAAGUUUUUUAGUUACAAAAGCAUCUAAUAAUACCCCCACUUUUAUUUAGUUUUUUUUUUUUUUUUUUUUUUAACAAAAGUUCCUCAACUUGGAAGGUGGUGACUGACUGAGUGAUAUGACUAUUUUGAAGCCUCACUUACAAUUCCCUGCAGGAAUAGUAAAUUAUGCAACGAAACUGAUGAUUUUCCAGGGAUAGGGCAUAAUGAUCGAGAAGACGCAUUCCACAAAGUUCAUCUCUGACAAGGGAUUUUUUUUUUAUAAAAAAAUUAGACUGGUCUAUUCUAUUCUUACAUCUACUUUAAUCUACACUAAUGGGAGACCCAAUGAAUCCUAGAGAAAUCGAUGAAAAUUGAACUAUUGUCGAACCAAACUAAUAUUAAAGGUAUACAAAAUUGAUACUAAUAUGAAGCGUGGCAAGUAAGAAUGCACCUUACGUUAUACAAUUUUUUUUAAGGCCUGGUAUUUCAUUUGUACAUGUAAUUAAACCUGUGUGGCAGAUUAAUGACUCUCUUCAGUCUUAGAUUCAAGCAAUACUUGAGAGUUUUCUUCAUACAAUUAAAAUGGACAACCUUAUGCAUCCUAAAAUAUUGAAAAUCUUCACUACUCAAGCUGGAUCUUGCAUACUACACUUCCUUAAUAUUUUGGUUUUUUUCUUAUUAUGGUUUCAUUGUUAUUUUGUAGCCCUAGCUACGAUGCCUUUUUGGUGGAUCCAAGACUUCAAGUCCAUGCCAUGAUUUUCUCACUGUGUCUCCUUUAUGUCAUUUGUAUGGGUAAGCUCGACAACAAUACUACAAAGAUCAAGAAAAUUCAUGCAUAUUCUACAAUAAACGCAAGUAUGGUCCAUCCAUCGUAUUCCGAUACACUGAGUUGACUAUGAUAUUAAACGAAAAUCCUCCGAUUUUUUUUUUGUCCCUUUUAGUAAGCUUCUCCAAACCCUUGAACAUGCAUAAUACAAUUAAAGUUGUGGCACAGACCUCGUAGCUGAAUAGUAUUGGUUAUUUGAGGCCUCUAAAUCAACUUUUGUUGGUUAAUUUUUUCUAAAAUAUUUGGGUAAUAAAACUAAGGAAAAGAUUAAAAAAAAUCAUAGCUAUGUAGUAUAAUAUUGCUAAUGUUAUGACCUUGUUUGGAUUGCCAAUUUCUUUCAAAUUUUUUUUUAUAUUUUUCAUGAACACAUUUUCUAAUCAACUUUUUAUCUUGCAUACAUCAAAUCAUUAUAGCAUAUUUUUUCUUACAAAACUUGACAAACUAGCAAUCCAAUAAUACCAAUCAUAUACACAAUUUAUAAAUUACAAGAUACUAGCUACUACACACAAUUUAUUAAAUUGAUACCUUUUUUUUAGAUACUGCUAGUGUAAAGAUUUUUUUUACACAAGCAGAUUUUGAUCAUACUACAUAACAUGAAUUCAAAUUUAAAAUUUAAUUCAUGCGCAUGUGACAUAUAUUCUACGCUAUUAGUAUAAAAAACUGUAGGGGUCCCUAGUGCAAGCUACACCUUGACAAUGUGGACUAAGGGCUAGCUCUUCGUUUGUGCCCAUAAUGGACUUAAGCCCACACCAUCUGAAUACCAGGGCAUGUUCACAACUCCAACCCCGUAUCAAAUUAUAAGGCCGCCAGUGUCAUGAGUGUGACCCUUUGUGGCCCAUUUCUUUUUGGAUGAUGGAUUCCUCAAUGCAUGAAUAAAUAACAACUGAAAAUCAGAUGAACUGUCAGUUGUCAGUCCAAAAUUCGGAAUGCAUCAGGCCAUUAGAUGUUGCCGCUCGUUGGAUCUAGAAUGGGUCAUGGUGCAGAAAUAAGGUCCUCUGAACUGGGCUUCUACAUGCUAGGUAGACUCUAGUGCCUAGUUUGGGAGUUUAGGAUGGAUAAGAGAAGGAGAAAAAGUUGCGUAAUUAGAAAAGAAAAGAAGAGAACUUUUGACAAAAAAAAAAAAAGAAAAGAAGAGAAGAGAAAAGAUUGUUAUAUCCUUUCAUAUUAUUUGGAAGAUUUGGGAGCGGAAAAGAAAGAAGUGAUUUUACUUUGUUUAGGAGUGAAGAUGAGUAGAAGGAAAAAUUUUUUAUUUUACAAUAGUAAAAUAUAAUUUGGAACUCGUUUAUUAAUAUAAUUUAAUUUCACAUCGCAAAUAUCAGGGGUAAAACUGGUACACUAAAAAAGUUACUAAAGUCCCUUUCUUGCAUGGAUGGAAGAUUUUUUGGCUUGUGGAGGGAUUUCAGGUCCCACCCUUUUCUUCUUCUUUCUUUUGUUAUUAAAACUUCCAAACAAAAGGAUGCCUCCACUUUCUUUCUAACUCCUUUCUUUUCUCUCCAAAUCAGUUCUCCCAAACUAGCUGUAAGCUUUACAAGCGAAAAGGGCAAAAGGAAAGCUUGAGACUUGAGGAUAGAUUUCACGAGUAACUAAUCAAUGUCCUUACUAACAAGAGUUAGGUAUUAAAAAGGAAAUGUCCAAUUUCACCUCUAACUCCAGUGAGGAAACUCAUGCAUUGAAACGAGCUUGAAUUCGCAAUUCGCCGUGGCUUAUUACUUUGUCCAAAACUUGGAUAGACCUAAUUUUUAAAGAUCCAAUGAACUAAUUUGUGCCAUAUAAUUUAGUGAAAUGAUAUGAUACAAUUUGAUCAUUGAAUUUUUGAAUAUCGGAUCUGACCAAGUAUGAGCCUAUUAAUUUAACCAUUCAUGUGACCAAAAUGGCUAUGGUGAUAGAUGGUAAAGAGCCAAUUGCCAUAAAAUAGUGGUUCUGUGAUUGCCCUUAACUUCAUUUUAAUAGAAAAAGGAGGACAUGCUAUGUUUUUUUUUUUUCAAGAGUUUAAUAUGCAGAACUAUUUGUGUGAUAAGUUCAUUAUUGUUGCUAUGAAAAGGAAGCAAAUAUUAAAGUCAAUUUGGGUCAUCAAGUAUAGUUUAUGAACAUCAAUCAUCAUGUAUGACCUCCUUAGAAUUUUCUGGACAUGUAAAACACAGUAUGAACAAAAGAAGUCUAUCGAACAAUUUGUGAUUAACCGGUCAAACAAUUUGACAAUACCUUUCCAACUACUCGAUAUUUUUUAAUCUCAAAACCAGAAUAAUACUUGUUCUGCAGCCUGUAAUAAUAAUCCAGAUCAAACCGGCUGACAUGGGUAUCAGGUAUACAAGAAAUCAAGAAAUAGACAACUGAAAAAGAAGUUACUUUGAUUACAUAUCCAAUCUGCAAUCUCAUCGUCCGACAAUGGCAUCCGAACCAUUUUAGAUUUGUCAUGCGCUAGAACCCUUUCUUGAAGUAGCCAACUUCAUUACUUCCUCACGUUUUUUUGGCAAGUCUUCAAGUCGUCCUUCUGAAGAGGGACCAGCAGUUUCUUCUGAGAAAUCUCUGAUAGCCAACAAUCUACCGAACACCCUUAGACAGAAGAUUUGUCAAGACAAGGCAGAUUCAAUCAGUGUGGAAAAAUAUAAGAUUGAGCUUUGAUCCGUCAAUACUCAAUAGUUUAUUGAAAAAAUCAAAGUCUAACAUAAUAAGUCAUGUCAAUGUAAACUGAGUAAAAACUUCCCCCAGUGCCAGGAAGGAGGCACAUUGUUACUCUACUAUCAACUUGGCUAAAAGAACUCGUCAAUUUUUAAUCAAGAUAGUAGAAAAGUCCGCAAACAGGUCAUUGCUGUCUGCAUAUAAAUCUCCUUCCCCUGGUGGAUCAAAUAUUCCCAAUUUAACUCGUUGUUUUAUAGGCAGAGUUUCCAACUGUCUAUCAAUGGCUAUCCCUCUUCAAAAGAUAAGAUUAUCAUUGAAGGAGCAUAAGCAGGAGACAAUCAUCUCCACUACACCAUGCAAUUGGUCAAGAAAUUCAUUUUUUCCUGGGGUAGUAGGAAGAGGCAGUGCACGAAAAAGUCUUGUUACAACCAAAGUGGUACCAAAGAAUGACUCACCAAUCAGAGUUUCCGACUCUGAAAGGAUGAAAGCUAAAGAAGGGGAUGAAGAAAGAGUUGCUCUAACUAAAGAGCCAAAAAGAAAGUUGGCUGAUGCCUGGAGAGAAAUUCAUGGUCAAAAUGAUUGGGCAGGCAUGCUUGAUCCCCUUGAUCCACUCUUGCGAGCUGAGCUGAUGCGCUAUGGGGACAUGGCACAAGCAUGUUAUGAUGCCUAUGAAUUUGAUCCAUAUUCCAAGUACUGCGGAAGCUGUAAAGUCAAACCAAGCAUGUUCUUCGAAAACCUUGGCUGGAACAAGUGUGGUUACGAGGUAACAAGCUAUAUUUAUUCAACCUACAAUGUCAACUUCCCAAAGUUCUUCAACGUCUCUCUGAAUCCAGAUGGAUGGAGCCAUUCAGCUAAUUGGAUUGGCUAUGUUGCUGUGUCAAAUGAAGAGUACUCGAAAUAUCUAGGGCGCCGCGACAUAAUGAUUGCUUGGAGGGGCACGGUGACAAAUGCUGAGAAGAUUGCAGAUCUGAUGGACUUCCAGAACCCAACCACAUACCACACGAUUCCUAGCCGCGAUCCAACCAUAAAAGUAGAGGCAGGAUUCUUGGACCUCUACGCAGGCAGAAACGUAGAUUGUCAGUAUUGCAAGUACUCAGCCCGGGAACAAGUUUUAGCUGAAGUGAAGAGAUUAAAAGAACUGUACCCUGGCGAGGAAUUAAGCAUAACGAUUACAGGGCACAGUCUUGGUAGUGCCUUGGCAACAUUGAAUGCUUAUGAUAUAGCAGAAAUUGGUCUAGAUGUAAUGGAAGACGGAAGAGUAAUUCCUGUGACCGUGUUCUCAUUCUCUGGUCCAAGAGUUGGAAAUGCAAGAUUCAAGGAGCGAUUGGAGGGUUUAGGGGUGAAAAUACUAAGAAUUUUUAACGUCCAUGACCAGGUGCCUAAGGUACCAGGAAUUUUCUUGAACGAACUUGUACCAAAAGUGCUGCAACAGCUUGGAGGAUGGUUACCAUGGUGCUAUUUUCAUGUUGGUGAGGAGCUGCCCUUGAAUCACGAAAACUCGCCCUUUCUGAAAGAUGAAAGCAACCUGGUGUUCUUCCACAAUUUGGAGGUCCUGCUGCAUUUGCUUGAUGGGUCAGUACAUUAAUUAUUUCCGAAUUCUUUUUUAUUUUCAAAAUUAAGGAAAGGAAAGAACUCUCUUAAAACACUUCAGCUACUCUCUCUGUGUGUGAUGUAACAGAUACCAUGGCAAGGGUCGAAGAUUUUGGCUUGCAGGUGGGAGAGACAUUGCACUGGUGAACAAAACAACAGACUUCUUGAAGAGGGAUUUCCUAAUUCCACCAAAUUGGUGGGAAACAAACAACAGAAUGCUCUUCAAAAAUCAUUUGGGACAAUGGGUUAUGCCGGAACAGCAUGAUCUUGAGAUCCACACCCCAUCGGAAGAUGUACAACAUCACCUCCAACAGUUGAAUCUAGCAUGUCAUGCCCAAUGGCAUUAGCUUUGUACCAGUGCCCCACUGAUAUAAUUAUUCAAGGUUCCUUUCCCACUUGAAAUUUAAUACUAACGGAGACAAAGGAAUAAUUAGUCCACCGGGUAGCCAUAACCACGGAAAUAAUAAGAAAAGCACAUAAUUUUUCAUCCAUUUUAUAUAGUAAGUACUGAUUUAUUCAGCUGCUUCCAUCGGUUGCAGCUAAGCAAUUUAUUUUUAUUCUCUUUUGGCACUUUCUGGUUGAGGCAGCCAAUAAUGUUGUUGUGUUUAAUACAUCAUACCCCAUAGGGUAUUUAUUUUAUUUAUUAAUCGAGCAAAACCAGAAUCAAUGCUUACAACAAUAAGACCAAAUCAACCAAAUAACAAAUCAAGAAAAGGUCAAAAAACAAGAAACAAAAAGUUAACAAUUACUAUCACUAUUGAUACAUUAGAAAAAGUUUUUUUUUUUAAUUUUUUUUCCAACAGAAGAGGAAUAUAAUUUAAGAAAUGGGACAAGACAAGAGAACUUAAAUUCGAAAUAUCUAAUUUCUGAGUCUCAACUUUAGCUACUAUAGCAAUGCCUCGGAAAGAAAUGGUCGUAGAUUCGUUUAUAGGUCAUUGCUAUUUGACUAGCACAAAAUUAGUACAUAAAAUAACUAGAACGACGUCGUCGAAACCAUUAUUCAUCCCUUUCCAUUUGAUAAUCACGUGAUUUAUCACGUGAUCAAAAAGCUUGCCUUCUCGGUUGUUCUCUCAACGUUUAUUUAUUCCUUUUUUGGUUUUCUUCUUGCUUCCUAAGCUUCGUUUGGAGGCUGAGGAUUUGGACAAACAAGAAAGGGAAAGAAGAGAAAAUUUAGUUUUCUUUUGUUUACUAGCUUUCAGUAAAAAAGAAAAGAAAGGAAAUGAGAAGGAGAACGAACAGUAACCAAAACUUUCCCUUCUAAAUUAGAUGAAAAUAAAAAAAAAACUUUGAAAAAACUUGUCAUAUUUUUUUAAAAUACAUAUUUUGUCCUUAAAAAAAUUUUAAAUAAAUAUUUAAUAAUUUUUAUAUCCAAAAUCAUUCCAUUAAUUCUUAAAACUCCCCAGCAUAGGAAUCCUUUUCUCGUGUCCUCUCUUCUCUCGUAACUUUUAAGUUUUUGCUUCUUUUCUUUUCUAUCCUAAACUCCCAAACUAAGCCUAAGUUUCCGGUCACCUGAUGGAUUGGUCUGCCUACUGAUUAUGCCCAAAACCCCCACAAGAAGUACCAAAACCCAGACCCAUUUAAGAUUUUUCUCCUAAAACCCAUGUUUAAAAUUAAAAAUCCAAAAAGGUUUCCCCUCAAAAACCCCUUCUCAUCUCAUCCCUUGAGCUGAAAUUUUCUUUUCCAUGGAUUUCAUCGAAUUGGAAGCAAUUGAAGGCCUCAGAUGGUCAUGGAACUCGUGGCCCACAACCAAAUCCGAGGCUGCAGCUCUGGUAGUCCCUUUAUCAAUUUUGUGUACUCCUUUAACUCAAUUCGGUGACCUCCCUAUACUUCCCUAUGACCCUUUGAUUUGCUCCAAGUGUGGCGCCGUUUUGAACCCGUAUGCCCGGGUCGAUUACCAGAGUAGAAUCUGGUAUUGCUCGUUUUGUAAUGGAAGAAACCCAUUUCCAAAGUCUUAUCUUGGAAUUAAUGAAAACAGUAUCCCAGCGGAGCUUUUUCCCACUUAUAGUACUGUGGAAUAUCAUUUGGGGAAAAAAUCGAUGAAUUUGGGGCACAACCCGCAAAACCCGGGCUUUGGUUCCGGGCCCGGUUAUGGCAAUGGGUUGGUUUUGUCUGGUUCAAGUUCGAUUUCGAGAAUGGGAUCGUUUUCUAGCUCAAAUUCUUCAUUGGCGGGGUUGGACUGGGCCGGGUCGGGCUUUGUCCCGGGACCUGCUUUUGUGUUCGUUGUGGAUGUGUGUACUGCUGAGGCGGAGCUUAGGGUGUUGAAGAGUGAGUUGUUGCAUGUGAUCACGCGGUUGCCAGAGAAUGCUCUUGUGGGGUUGGUGGUUUUUGAUUCUUUGGUCAGGGUUUAUGAUCUUGGGUUUUCAGAGUGUUUCAGGGUGGUGCUGUUUCAUGGUGAGCGCGAGAUAUCGUCCGAGCAGGUACAUUGAUUGCCAGUGCUAAUAUCAGUGAUUGCAUUUGGUUAUUACAUUCAGUGCUUAUUUAUUUGAAACUGUUUAGAACCAUAGUUUAUUGGGCUUUUAUCUCAUGUAUUGUGUGGCCUAAUGAGGAUUUCAAAAUGUAUGAGCAGUAAUUCAGUUUAAAGAAUAAAAUGAUUGGUAAUGUGCAACUUGAAAUGAGAGACAAGAAAUAUGGAUGGUUGUUGGUGAUUCUCUGCUGGUACAAGUUUAGAAUCUGAAUGUGUGAUAGUAGAUGUGAGUUUUUCUGUGGUAUAGCUUUGUACAAAAUCUGAUUUGUGGGCUCUCUGACGCACUUGCUUCAAACAAUUGUUUAACUAAUAGACAAUAAUUUACUCAAGAGCAACGCCAUUUUAAUGAAGUCUAUACUGUUGUGGGUGCUUUUAUGCUGUUUCUUUCCUCAGACUCCAUAUUUAUAGAUGCAUCUGGGUAUGAACUGACUAGACAAAUUAGCUUCCCCCUCUCUUCCCCUUAUACUGUGGUUGAGCUGAUACAUUUCUUUUUGCAUGCAAUUAUCUUCUUUCUGCCGAAACUUUUAAUGCUAAUUAACUAAUUAACCUGGAUCACACCAUCUUAAUCUGCAAGCUAGAGUAUUUUUUGACUGCCUUUAUUCAUGUGUUCAAAGUUCACAUGCUCUUGUUUGAGCAUUUGUCUCUUUCUAAGUUCCUAUAGGCCUUCCCUAGUCUAGGAAGGUAUGAUUAUUUUCCCUGAAAGUGUUUGCAGCAUGUUGGAAACAUUUAUUUCCAGUCAUGUCUUUUUAUGUUAUGCUGCGUGUCUGUAAAUGUUGUAUUUCUGAUACUGUAUGUGUGGAAAGUUAUGGCUACAAGUGCAGAUAGUGGUGCAUGCACUGGUCAUCUCUCGAAUUCUUAUAAUCGGUUCAGAUAUACCUCAUAUCAUUCUCUAAGUCUCUCAUGUGAAGUCUAAUUAGUGUGAUUGAUUGCUUAAGCAGUAAUAUAAAUGAAUCUUUCUUUGUGAUUUUUAUGAUGUAUUUACUUAACCAGAUACUUGUCAGAAUGCUUAUCACAUGAGUGUGAUAGAACAUUUUGUUCGAGUGUAACAUGUAGUGGUCGUUUGUCUCUAGACGAAACAGCUGUUGGGGAUUCAUCACAUAAAGCAGCAACUUGGAAAGACAUCAACAGUUCAUAAACAGGGAUUCCUAUUGCCAGUAUCUGAGUGCGAGUUCAGUUUCACGAAUGCCAUUGAAGAUCUUCAUUCUUCACCGCAGGCUCUCGCUGGUCAUCGUCCAUUACGGUCCACAGGGGUAGCAAUAUCAGUUGCAGUUGGACUAUUAGAAGGAUGCUUCGUUAGUUCAGCUUCACGAAUCAUGGUUUUCACUUCUGGCCCGGCAACUAUUGGCCCAGGCAUCAUUGUAGCUUCAGAUUACAGUCAUGCCAUCAGGACCCACCGAGAUAUCGAUAGUGGUUAUGCUCCUCAUUACAUAAAGUCCUGUGAAUUCUACAAGCGAUUAUCGAAGAGGUUAUGUGAUUCUUCAGUUGUGCUCGAUCUUUUUGCUUGUUCAUUAGAUCAAGUUGGAGCAGUGGAGCUAAAGGUCCCUGUUGAGAGCUCUGGUGGAUUCAUGAUGUUAGGGGAGUCAUUUGACUCUGAAAAAUUCAGAAAGUGCUUGAAUCACAUAUUCAUCCAUGAUGAGGAAGGGAAUUUGAACAUGUGCUUUGAUGCUACUAUAGAGUUAGUAACCACGAAGGACGUCAAAAUCUGUGGAGCUUUGGGUCCCUGUGUUUCUUUGCAGAAAAAGAACAGUUCUGUGAGUGACAAAGGGAUUGGGGAGAGUGGUACAUAUGUUUGGAAGCUAGGUACACUCAAUAAAAAAACAUGCAUUGCUUUCUUCUUUGAAGUGGGCCAUGAACAACACAUCCAACCUAACUCUGCAUUUUUCAUACAAUUCAUAACUCAGUACAGAUAUGGGAAUAUGGGGAUUCGCAAGAGAGUGACCACUGCUGCUCGAAGGUGGGUUGGGAAUCACUCACCAGAAAUUCAUGCUGGGUUUGAUCAGGAAGCAGCUGCUUCAGUGAUGGCUAGACUUGCAAUCCACAGAACGGAAAGAUUUUUCGCUCGAGAUGUUAUCAGUUGGCUGGAUAAGAAGCUUAUUCUUUUUGCUUCAAAGUUCGGGCAGUAUGUGCAGGAGGAUCCAUCUUCCUUCCAUCUGGCAUCCAACUUCUCCCUUUAUCCGCAAUUUAUGUAUCAUUUAAGGAGGUCUCAGUUCAUUGAUGUGUUUAAUAGCACUCCAGAUGAGACUGCGUUUUUCAGGCUUAUGCUAAAUCGUGAGGGUGUGGUUGGCUCUCUACUAAUGGUCCAGCCUACCCUUUUUCAGUAUUCAUUUGAAGGACCACCAAUCCCUGUUCUUCUAGAUGUUUGCUCUAUCUUCCCUGAUGUGAUACUGCUCUUUGAUUCCUAUUUUAAUGUCGUGAUUCACUAUGGAUCUAAGAUUGCGCAAUGGAGGAAGCUUGGUUAUGAUAGGGACCCCAACCACGAGAACUUUCGAAAGCUGCUGGAAGCUGUUGACCUUGACGCAAAGCACCUAGUGGCUGAACGGAUUCCAGUGCCAAAGCUCAUAAAGUGUGACCAACACAGUAGUCAGGCAAGAUUUCUUCUUGCCAAGUUGAAUCCAUCAGUGACACAGAACUCAACAUGUACAGAUGGUUCGGAGAUUAUUUUUACUGAUGACGUGAGCCUGCAAGUGUUCAUUGAUCACUUGCAAGCUUUGGCUGUGCAGGGCUAAUGGAGUGUUAUUAGUUACGAGCUGUUACCGGAAAACCGUCAUAUUGUUGUAUAGCACUGUAAAGAGGAAAGGCGUUUGUUUGUUAAUGAAAAGAAGGGCAUGGGAUUAACAGGUGUUUUUUAAGUUUACCCCUUCUGGACCGUGUUGUUAUGGUGGGGCAUAUGUAGCUGUAAAUGCUUUUCUGGUAAGAGUUAUACGUAGUUGAGCGCAUAAGCACUAUUUUGAAGUGGAAGAAAUUUCCCUUGGCAUUACAGGGUAUUCUGGACUGAUGCAGAGCAAGUCCAAAUCUGACAUAUCUGACGUACAAAAGCGGGGUUUCCAGUUACUUAUUAGUAUUGGGACGAAAGAAAGAGCUUCUAAAUUUUUGCAAGGGAAAAAUAGCGAGGUUUGGGUACUAAUUCAAGGCGUUGGCUUGAUUGAUCGUGUAAAUUGAUAAGAAAAAAUUAGUACCAAAAUUAAAAAAGUUAAACUAGCAAAUGCUAUAACAAAAUAAAUGUAACUGGGGCUAAGACUGUCAAGGAUUAGACGAACUUCUUAACAAUCAUCUUUCAUAAUUAGGAAAGGUUUAGGAUCAAUACGAAACCAUAAAGAGCUAAAGUAGAUAUCAUUUUUAUGUUUUUGGCAUAUCCCAUGAUGCAACUAUAUCAAUAUUGCUUUCGCAAUAUUACAGUGGAUUAAGUGAACAUUAUUGAGACAAUUGAAGCGCAAUUUGAUUGGUAACACGCUGCACCUGAAAUUGACAGACCACGUGUCCGAGUCAUCAAGAAGAGUAAAUAGGAAACUAUUAUUGAUUCUCUUUAAAAAAAAAUGUGAACAUUAUGGAAAACAAUGAGGGGAUUGUUCAAUGAAACCAAAACCACUCGGUAUAAAUAGUAAUUAACCCAUGAAAUUACACAUUAAGCAAUGACAUGAAAGCAAACCAGUUAAUUUGGCACUUUCAGACUAUAAAAAGCAAACCAGCCCAUCAAUCCCAUGAAUUCUUUGGAGGGAGGAGUAAGUCCUACAUAUGAUAAUAAUAGGUUUUAACUUUUAUAGAACAUAUAAAAGAUUCUUCAGUGAAGCAGCGGCUUCAGUGAUGGAUAGCAGUUGCAGUCCCCAGAACUGUAAGAUUCUUCGCUCGAGCUGUCAUCAGUUGGCUGGAUAAGAAGCUCGCUCUUUUUGCUUCCAUAAGAUUCAAUUGCAAUCACGGGGACGUGACAGAUUUUGUCAUGAUCCGGUCCUCCACGCCCAUCGAUCCCAUGAAUUCUUUGGACGAUGAAUUCUUCAGGCAUUUUAAUUUCCAACUUUCUGAGUGUUGUAAUAAACCUCAGCCCAUCAGGAAUCAUCUCCAGUGCUUCACAUCUAUCGAUUGUAAGAUGAGAUAGGUUAGGCAUGCAUCCUUCAGCCACCACCCACUUUUCUAAGUUUUUUAUGCCAAUGAUCUCCAGAGAUGCGAGUUUUGGAAAAGCAUUUGCAUCAAUAAUCAUCACUUUUCUAUCCACCAAGUCCACAAGAAGAAAAAGCAGUCUCCUCAAGUUGGGAAGAUCUCCCAAGACACUCAUUGGAUCUCCUUCAAUUGAACACUGCAGCAAACUUAGCUCACUGAGGUUCGAGGGGGAAAGGGGUGGUUCAACUUUUUGAAACUCACACCUUCCCCACCACAAGCUCAAUUGGUGGAGACAGUGGCAGGACAAAAGAUCUAGAAAAGGAAGCAAUACUUCACCGGAUGCAUAAAUCUCCAAUUGAGCCUCCCGUAGAUUGUGUCGGUUGGAAUUCAAGUAUUUGAGCAUCUGAGGGAGAUCGUUCUUCUCUUUACGGAUAUUCACAAUUGCACCGAGGAACCUUAGAUUAUUCAACCCUGACAAAUGUUUCAAGUCUCCGACAUCAUCGUCAAAGCCAACUAAAGUCUCCAGCUUACUUAAGCCAAGAAAGCUUAGCUAUCCACCUUCUACUUCUGUCCUUGGAGAAAAAUACAAAUGCUUCAAUCCUUUCAAUUUGCACAAGACAUCAGGCACCGUAAUCGUAGGAAAGACUCGUAUAUCAAGUGUCUCCAGGUACUGUAAUUGACCUAUGGAUGAUGGAAGUGUCUCCAAGGCACUGCCCUUUAGACUGAGGAAUCUCAAAUUGACCAGCUUCUUUAUUCCUUCAGGCAAACCUUUGCCCAUGAAACGAUAACCCUCGAAUUUGAGAACCUUUACAUAUUUGAACUUGGUUGAAUCACAUAUUACUUCAGGAAAUGAGAUACUUGCCGUGCGACGUUCAGUUCCACCACUUAAUGUUAAAGAACGCAGUUGUCCACUGGCUUCCAGUGCCAUACUUAUCAUAGAGUCAACAUCACCUAGACAAUGCUUUUUACCAUCUUCCAUGUGAAUGGAGCAUCUAGGAGUACAGUCGUCGCGCUCUGUAGAAUAAUCCGACAAGGGAUCAUUUCCUCCUCGAAAAUCAAGCAACUUGAGAAAUUCAACUUCUUUUCCACUGGGCCAGGCAGAAGUCCCUCAUCAGAUCAUGAAGGUAGCAUGACUCAACCUUUCUGGAUGUCGAGAACUCAUAAAACUUCACUUGAAGCAUUGACCUACUAGCCAUCUCAUACAGGUACCUUUCAGCUACAUCUGUCAGAGUUUCUCCUUUUCUGCGAUGAUCUGAUGAGACCAUCCCUUCUGCUGUCCACAUUCGAUACAACAUCUCUGCAUCUAUGUCCUCAUCCUCACGAUAUUGCCCCAGGUAAAGAAAACAUGGCUUCAAGUGGUAGGGUAGCUCGUCAUAACUCAGAGCCAACACCUGCAACACGGCUCCAUACCCUUCUUCUUUGCCACCUUCACUCAUCCUUAUAUACGAAUCCACAUCAUUCUUCACUGUCUCCCACUCCUCGAGUGAAGUCUUUUGACUCAGAACUCCUCCAAUUGCAGAGAUUGCUAAGGGUAGGUUUCCACACUUGCGAACAAUUGCCCUCCCUACUGCUUCCAACCGUGGACCACUUUCACAAUCUGCAAGAGAGAAAAAUGUAAAUUGUGUGUCUCUAUAAUUUGUCCAGAUGUACCUUUGUUAUUUUUGGAUGUGAAAAUGUAACUAUUCUCCCAACAUUUCCACUUGGUUUGGAGACUAAUGCUUCUAAAUUUGCCAAGUAAAAAAGGCUAACAGAAACUAAUGCAUACAGGUAUGAACGGCAUAGAAUCUAUAGGAAUAAGCAUCAAACUUUAUAUUCUGUUUUAACUAAUGCAAGUCAGAUAUAUGUACUUCACUAGAGAAAAGCUAACCUGCGCCAUUUCUUUUGGCAAAAGCUCUCUUUUGAAGCAACUCCCAGCCUUCAUCCUCGUUCAAAAGGUUGAGUGGAUAGGGGAAUUCAACUUCUGCGAGUUUCUGGUUCCGAGUUGUAAUCAAAAUUUUGCUAUCCGCCUCUGCAAAUGGAAAUGCUACACUGAGACGCUUCCAGUCCUCAAUUUCCCACAGGUCAUCAAGAACAACUAAGCUUUUUGUCUCU